CUGAUAAUCUCUGGCUGCUGUGUGUGUGGUCAGCGAAUUGUAGUCUAGAAUGGUCACCUUGUGCACAGCUCGUUCUGGUAAAGUCCACUUGGAAUAGUGUGCCGGAGAGGGUGAGAGCCCCGUGUAACGUGUUGGGCCAGAUCUGAGCGUGUAAUCGGUGGCCGUUGAUGAGUCGGGUUGUUUGGGAUUGCAGCCCAAAGUGGGUGGUAGACUCCACUGAAAGCUAAAUAUACCCACGAGACCGAUAGUGAACAAGUACCGUGAGGGAAAGAUGAAAAGCACUUUGAAAAGAGGGUGAAAAGACCGUGAAACCGUUAGGAGGGAAACGAACAGGCUGACCGUUGCGUCAGCAAGAUUCAGGCAAGUUGUGCUGUCGAGUCUGGUGGCUGUUGGCUGGUCUGAGUGUUCUGAUCAUGUAGGAUGCAAGCCGAUGCUCCAGAGUAAACUCGGCCUUCUCUGCUGUACUUCAUGCUGUACGAAGCUAGUCACGUUCGUCUGUGUGUUGUGUGUGUGU
Molecule: ribosomal RNA, 514 nt
Filed under: Bolosominae sp. CCZ_198
Lineage: Eukaryota; Metazoa; Porifera; Hexactinellida; Lyssacinosida; Euplectellidae
Description: partial large subunit ribosomal RNA
Rfam family: Eukaryotic large subunit ribosomal RNA
Source: RNAcentral